GGAAGGAUGAGAAGCUUCGACUAAGGUUCGACUAAGGUUCGACUAAGGUUCGACUCGAGCGAAGCGAGAGAACGUUGCCGCAGGCAACGGCCCGAAGGGCGAAGCGCUUUAGCGCCGAGUAAUCCUUCCCCCACCACUG
RNAcentral lists this small RNA (139 nucleotides) under Klebsiella pneumoniae. Its description in RNAcentral is "partial RtT sRNA". It matches the Rfam family "RtT RNA", at positions 16 to 130 of the family's 130-position model. From Rfam's summary of the family: This family represents a bacterial cis-regulatory element known as RtT RNA. The exact function of RtT is unknown although it is thought that it may be involved in changing the cellular response in relation to amino acid starvation. The record is from RNAcentral. Lineage: Bacteria; Pseudomonadati; Pseudomonadota; Gammaproteobacteria; Enterobacterales; Enterobacteriaceae.